CCUACGGGAGGCAGCAGUGGGGAAUAUUGCGCAAUGGGGGAAACCCUGACGCAGCAACGCCGCGUGCAGGAAGAAGGUCUUCGGAUUGUAAACUGUUGUCGCAGGGGAAGAAGACAGUGACGGUACCCUGUGAGAAAGUCACGGCUAACUACGUGCCAGCAGCCGCGGUAAUACGUAGGUGACAAGCGUUGUCCGGAUUUAUUGGGUUUAAAGGGUGCGUAGGCGGUUCGAUAAGUUAGAGGUGAAAUCCCGGGGCUCAACUCCGGCACUGCCUCUGAUACUGUCGGGCUAGAGUUUAGUUGCGGUAGGCGGAAUGUAUGGUGUAGCGGUGAAAUGCAUAGAGAUCAUACAGAACACCGAUUGCGAAGGCAGCUUACCAAACUACGACUGACGUUGAGGCACGAAAGCGUGGGGAGCAAACAGGAUUAGAUACCCCUGUAGUC
This 443-nucleotide ribosomal RNA is filed under the name uncultured bacterium. Its description in RNAcentral is "partial 16S ribosomal RNA". It matches the Rfam family "Bacterial small subunit ribosomal RNA", at positions 338 to 795 of the family's 1533-position model. The record is from RNAcentral.